RNAcentral lists this ribosomal RNA (253 nucleotides) under uncultured bacterium. Its description in RNAcentral is "partial 16S ribosomal RNA". It matches the Rfam family "Bacterial small subunit ribosomal RNA", at positions 524 to 776 of the family's 1533-position model. The record is from RNAcentral.
UACGGAGGGUGCGAGCGUUGUCCGGAAUCAUUGGGCGUAAAGGGCGCGUAGGUGGCGGGACAAGUCUGCUGUGAAAACUCGAGGCUCAACCUCGAGCUGUCGGUGGAAACUGUCUGGCUAGAGUCCGGAAGAGGAGAGUGGAAUUCCUGGUGUAGCGGUGAAAUGCGCAGAUAUCAGGAAGAACACCUAUGGCGAAGGCAGCUCUCUGGGACGGUACUGACGCUGAGACGCGAAAGCGUGGGGAGCAAACAGG